This 461-nucleotide ribosomal RNA is filed under the name Streptococcus anginosus. RNAcentral's name for it is "bacterial SSU rRNA". It matches the Rfam family "Bacterial small subunit ribosomal RNA", at positions 29 to 466 of the family's 1533-position model. Lineage: Bacteria; Bacillati; Bacillota; Bacilli; Lactobacillales; Streptococcaceae. The record is from RNAcentral.
ACGAACGCUGGCGGCGUGCCUAAUACAUGCAAGUAGGACGCACAGUUUAUACCGUAGCUUGCUACACCAUAGACUGUGAGUUGCGAACGGGUGAGUAACGCGUAGGUAACCUGCCUAUUAGAGGGGGAUAACUAUUGGAAACGAUAGCUAAUACCGCAUAACAGUAUGUAACACAUGUUAGAUGCUUGAAAGAUGCAAUUGCAUCGCUAGUAGAUGGACCUGCGUUGUAUUAGCUAGUAGGUAGGGUAAAGGCCUACCUAGGCAACGAUACAUAGCCGACCUGAGAGGGUGAUCGGCCACACUGGGACUGAGACACGGCCCAGACUCCUACGGGAGGCAGCAGUAGGGAAUCUUCGGCAAUGGGGGGAACCCUGACCGAGCAACGCCGCGUGAGUGAAGAAGGUUUUCGGAUCGUAAAGCUCUGUUGUUAAGGAAGAACGAGUGUGAGAAUGGAAAGUUCA